GGCCUUUCCCCACCCACGGGCUAACUGACCUUUUUGUUACCAGAGGGCUCUCGAAAGGGCAUGUGCAUCGAGGAGAUGGGACCUUUUGGGUCGUUGAAGAGUCUUCAGAAACUAUAAACGGAUUGUUCGGGUCUCAAUUUCAUGGUGGUGUUGUUCAAAACGACGAUGGAGGAAAUGCUCGCGCCGCCUGAGCUCAGUUAGUAGAUGAAUUGGCUCAACUUGCCCAUAACAAGGCCAAAACUAAUUCCGGGUUUUGGUUGCAGCUGGUGUUUCGGCAGCUCUCCAAGCCUUUCACUAAUGUAAUUCUGUAUGGCAAAGAGUGUGAUUUCAAGUCAACCCUUCAGGCUCCACGCAUUCCUCUGCAAUGGUGGCUACUGCAACAACGCUUGGACUUGAAAUGGGACUGUCGGAUUCAAUAUUUGGCUUGACUGUUGUUUAUGCAGGCGUUGUGAUUUAUGAUGCCCAGGAUUUGCGGUUCUAAAGUACUUGCAAUUUAACUGUUGGUUUUAUGAGGUCUGAUUAAAGAGGAACAAAAAAGUGACUCUCUACUCAUUGAUUACUUUAGCAUAUGGGAUUAUCUGCUGAGAAUGCUCACCAACAUAAUGUUGAUGUUACAACAAUAUACGAGCUAAUUAGCUUUUAUCUAUUGGGGUUUAGUCCAGAACUUACUUUUAGACGGAUGACAGAAAGGGCACCAACACAUUAGAGUAUUUCCUGUCUGACAGUCUAACAAUCUGCCACAUAGAUUCAUUAGGAAGGAUAUAUUUUACUUGCGUAUGAGAUAGUGAUGAUACAAAAUAGGUCUGUUUCAAUUAGUUAGAAGUAUUAAUGUGAGCGCAUGCUGAUUGUAGAUUUAUACUCUGCAAGUUGAGAGGCUGCAUAGUAUCUCUCUGUUCCAUCUUAGUCAUCAGGAAACAGAUGCUUCAGAAUACUAUGCAAGAACAGAUACAGUACUAGUUUUCAGGAGAAAACAAUCAAAAUAAAGAAAGAUUUUAUCUUUUUGUGACCCCAGUAAAAAUAUUGCAUUCUUCUUAUUCGAUGCUGAUGAUAGAGACCUUUAUUCUUUCUUGGAGCCUCUUCUUCUGCUUGUUAUUAGGAUGUUUAACUGUUGGCAUCCCUAGUUUAAACCUGAUCAAGUGCCAUUCUACUGACAAUAAUAGAUAGGGCAGUUCUAUGCUUUUGAAAUCCAUACCGCACCUUGCCAGUAUUUAUACUUGGUGAGAAGUUUAUGAAUUGUGAAUGGAAUGUUUGAUAAAUUUGUUCUGGCCGUGUUUUGUACACUUAACCAUGAAUGUAGGAAGUUGUCCUCGGUGUUGAUGUUUCUGAUUGAAAACCUAUUCGAUUUAGAUUUCUCCUCCUAUGAGCAUAUGCUACAACAGCUAGUGUGUAGGAUAGAAUAAAUCCUUUUCUAAUUUAUUUUUGGUUAUGCUUUUCAGUGAUUUGAUAUACGACUUUUUGCUUGUUUUGAACAAGCAGUUAACAGAGAUGUCUCCACCAUCUUGACUGUUUUGCAAUUUGGAGGCAAUACAUGUGAAGUUUCUCGACCGGAAGACGAAGAUUUAUCUUUACUGUAAUAGUCCGUUUAUAUUGUUUUGACACACUUUCUUUAUGAACUUCGUAAGUAUUUUUUUUUUCUUCGGGUAUACAUUUACUUUUUGUCUUCUAUAAGAUGUAAAGAUCCAACAUCUUGAAGCAAGCUAGCUUUGCUGAGCAAGUAAAAGAAAUGCAUCACUUCAAGUUGACGACACAAACAAAUGUUAAAAAUUCCAAAUUUUACUAUAUUAGGUUUUCUGGCAAUCAA
Long non-coding RNA from Rosa chinensis, 1801 nucleotides. RefSeq lists it as uncharacterized. The transcript has 6 exons. NCBI's taxonomy places the organism in Eukaryota, Viridiplantae, Streptophyta, Magnoliopsida, Rosales, Rosaceae. The record is from RefSeq and is a predicted model, not a curated record.